Molecule: ribosomal RNA, 453 nt
Filed under: Dietzia sp.
Lineage: Bacteria; Bacillati; Actinomycetota; Actinomycetes; Mycobacteriales; Dietziaceae
Description: bacterial SSU rRNA
Rfam family: Bacterial small subunit ribosomal RNA
Source: RNAcentral
AGAGUUUGAUCAUGGCUCAGGACGAACGCUGGCGGCGUGCUUAACACAUGCAAGUCGAACGGUAAGGCCCUUCGGGGUACACGAGUGGCGAACGGGUGAGUAACACGUGGGUAAUCUGCCCUGCACUUCGGGAUAAGCCUGGGAAACUGGGUCUAAUACCGGAUAUUCAGCUUCUGCCGCAUGGUGGUUGUUGGAAAGUUUUUCGGUGCAGGAUGUGCCCGCGGCCUAUCAGCUUGUUGGUGGGGUAAUGGCCUACCAAGGCGACGACGGGUAGCCGGCCUGAGAGGGUGAUCGGCCACAUUGGGACUGAGACACGGCCCAGACUCCUACGGGAGGCAGCAGUGGGGAAUAUUGCACAAUGGGCGCAAGCCUGAUGCAGCGACGCCGCGUGAGGGAUGACGGUCUUCGGAUUGUAAACCUCUUUCGGCAGGGACGAAGCGCAAGUGACGGUAC